This 62-nucleotide transfer RNA is filed under the name Actinomycetota bacterium. RNAcentral describes it as "tRNA-OTHER". The record is from RNAcentral. Lineage: Bacteria; Bacillati; Actinomycetota.
GUGAACGGCCUCAGUUCUGCUUUGCAAGCAGGGGGUCGUGGGUUCGAGUCCCAUCGUCUCCA